This is a long non-coding RNA of Harpia harpyja (harpy eagle), 1110 nucleotides long. RefSeq lists it as uncharacterized. The transcript has 3 exons. NCBI's taxonomy places the organism in Eukaryota, Metazoa, Chordata, Aves, Accipitriformes, Accipitridae. The record is from RefSeq and is a predicted model, not a curated record.
CAGCCCUCCCCCGCUCCCAACGCAGGCACUCGGCCGCUGCCGCGUACCGCCGGUGACAGCAGCGGCUCAGCCCUCGGCCCCCGCCGGGGGAGAGAUAACCUUUGGUCUCGUUGCAGCAGCUGGGAAGGAGGGAGAGGUGCUCUCUCUCAGGGGAUUUUUUGACAUACCGUGAACAAGUAAAAGUAUACCAAGAUACGGCUGAGAGGGUUUGGAGCCCAGCAGCUUAAGCAACAACGGUUUGUAGAGAGAGGCCAUCCUUAUUGGUCCUACAGCAGACAGUCUUUCUCCUGAUGAGCACAGCUCGUUACUGCCAUAAGCAUUUCAGCAUAGGAAAUAUUUAUGUUUCACUCAACAACAAAAGCAGAACAGCCCAAAAUUUGAAGUUCCCAUUGUGGUGGGGAGAAGCAAUGAUCCUGCAAAGCCCCGAUGGUAAGGAGCAUUCGUGACCACGCGGCACGGUGAGGGACAGCAGAGAAGAGGGAAGGAAUGAAAGUGAAAAUAAAAACUUCUGCCAAAGGUAAGACUGAAGAAGUACACACAAGUAGACUAAACACAAUGAGAAAGCACUGUUAUAUCUGGCCUCCUGCUUAAAUAAGCUCUUCCCUCUGUCUUCCUCCAGUUCUUGGAAGCCAUCGAGCUGUGCCCAGAGCUCACUUCCUCUGUCUCUGUCCUCAACUUGUGUCCUCUUCUGUUUCCUCUUCGCAUUCUCUCUGGUGCAUCUGAAAGUGCGCCAGUUGCAGAGAGAACAUGGACCAUAUCACCUCACACAGUUACCCACACUUUACUGCUUGAUAAGGAGGGAGAGGACAUCUCCUCAGUUUGCUGUGGCAACAUACUACCAAGAAUUCAUUUUGAUUCUGCACAAGUGUCUUUCAAAAAUUGGAAGCACAAAUUUUUUGCUUGCAAAUAACUAAAAAGUCCUCCUGUGUGCAUGGCAUUUAUCUUCCUCAGAUAACACUUGGAGGAUCUCCCAAGGACUUUGGGGUUAGGGUUUGAUGCAAGACAACUUAAUAACCUCUUAAUCUUUGCAAUAUCUCUUUUGCUGGUUAAGUGAUUGAUUUAACACUAUUUUAUGGAUAUAAACAAGUAAUAUCUGUGUACACUGUAAUG